AUUGAACGCUGGCGGCAGGCCUAACACAUGCAAGUCGAGCGGAUGAAGGGAGCUUGCUCCUGGAUUCAGCGGCGGACGGGUGAGUAAUGCCUAGGAAUCUGCCUGGUAGUGGGGGAUAACGUCCGGAAACGGGCGCUAAUACCGCAUACGUCCUGAGGGAGAAAGUGGGGGAUCUUCGGACCUCACGCUAUCAGAUGAGCCUAGGUCGGAUUAGCUAGUUGGUGGGGUAAAGGCCUACCAAGGCGACGAUCCGUAACUGGUCUGAGAGGAUGAGCAGUCACACUGGAACUGAGACACGGUCCAGACUCCUACGGGAGGCAGCAGUGGGGAAUAUUGGACAAUAGGCGAAAGCCUGAUCCAGCCAUGCCGCGUGUGUGAAGAAGGUCUUCGGAUUGUAAAGCACUUUAAGUUGGGAGGAAGGGCAGUAAGUUAAUACCUUGCUGUUUUGACGUUACCAACAGAAUAAGCACCGGCUAACUUCGUG
RNAcentral lists this ribosomal RNA (484 nucleotides) under uncultured bacterium. RNAcentral describes it as "partial 16S ribosomal RNA". It matches the Rfam family "Bacterial small subunit ribosomal RNA", at positions 30 to 507 of the family's 1533-position model. The record is from RNAcentral.